AUGAAAACAGUAAAGCGUGGAGAAAAUGUAACUAUGGUGUGUAACCUUAACACCAAAAAGAAAAAUAAGUUAGUUUGGUACAGACAGAGUUUUGGAAAAUUGCCUCAGUUUAUAGCAAGACAUUACAGUAACACUUUGGGCUACACAUUUGCUGAGGGAUUUAAAGAUAGCCGCUUCAGUAUUACUGUAAAUGGCCAUAAGUUUGAUCUCUACAUUAAUGGAGCAAGAGAAGAUGAUGGAGGAGAAUAUUUCUGUGUAGAACUGGAGGGAAGUACACUAAAGUUCACAUCUGGAACACGUCUGCAAUUUGAAGAUAAAGAGAUGAAACUCUGUCCUACACCUGGAACGGUUAACAAGAACACAGAUUCUGUUACACUCCAGGGUUCAGACAGCAGCGACGGAAAAGGUUACAGUUGUACUGAUCAGAUGCAUGUGCUGUUCUGGCUCUCCAUUGUUAGAGUUGGAGUUCUUGCCUUCAUUAUAUUAUUAUUGUCUUUCCAAUAA
Molecule: non-coding RNA, 504 nt
Organism: Pangasianodon hypophthalmus (striped catfish)
Lineage: Eukaryota; Metazoa; Chordata; Actinopteri; Siluriformes; Pangasiidae
Source: the annotation of a RefSeq genome assembly